RNAcentral lists this transfer RNA (87 nucleotides) under bacterium. RNAcentral describes it as "tRNA-Leu". It matches the Rfam family "tRNA". Rfam says of the family: Transfer RNA (tRNA) molecules are approximately 80 nucleotides in length. The record is from RNAcentral. RNAcentral also lists the same sequence under 3 other names.
GCGAGAGUGGCGGAGUUUGGCAGACGCGCUAGACUUAGGAUCUAGUGCCUUUACGGCGUGGGGGUUCGAGUCCCCCCUCUCGCACCA